This 174-nucleotide ribosomal RNA is filed under the name Macrodiplodiopsis desmazieri. RNAcentral describes it as "5.8S ribosomal RNA". The stretch from base 18 to 171 matches the Rfam family "5.8S ribosomal RNA". From Rfam's summary of the family: 5.8S ribosomal RNA (5.8S rRNA) is a component of the large subunit of the eukaryotic ribosome. It is transcribed by RNA polymerase I as part of the 45S precursor that also contains 18S and 28S rRNA. The record is from RNAcentral. Lineage: Eukaryota; Fungi; Ascomycota; Dothideomycetes; Pleosporales.
AAAACCUAAAUCGUUACAACUUUCAACAAUGGAUCUCUUGGUUCUGGCAUCGAUGAAGAACGCAGCGAAAUGCGAUAAGUAGUGUGAAUUGCAGAAUUCAGUGAAUCAUCGAAUCUUUGAACGCACAUUGCGCCCCUUGGUAUUCCAUGGGGCAUGCCUGUUCGAGCGUCAUUU